AGAGUUUGAUCCUGGCUCAGGAUGAACGCUGGCGGCGUGCCUAACACAUGCAAGUCGCACGGGGCCUUCGGGUCUAGUGGCGGACGGGUGCGUAACACGUAGGCAUCUGCCCUGAAGUGGGGGACAACAGCAGGAAACUGCUGCUAAUACCGCAUGCGGCCGCAAGGUCAAAGCCUAACGGCGCUUCAGGAGGAGCCUGCGGCCUAUCAGCUAGUUGGAGGGGUAACGGCCCACCAAGGCGAUGACGGGUAGCUGGCCUGAGAGGGUGGUCAGCCACAUGGGGACUGAGAGACGGCCCCAACUCCUACGGGAGGCAGCAGUGAGGGAUCUUGCGCAAUGGGCGAAAGCCUGACGCAGCAACGCCGCGUGGAGGAUGACGGCCUUCGGGUUGUAAACUCCUUUUCAGGGGGAGCAGAACGGAGAGUACCCCUGGAAUAAGUCACGGCUAACUACGUGCCAGCAGCCGCGAUAACACGUAGGUGGCAAGCGUUAUCCGGAAUUACUGGGCGUAAAGGGUCCGCAGGUGGGAAGGUAAGUCUGAUGUGACAGCGCCCGGCUCAACUGGGCGUGGCCAUUGGAAACUGCCAUUCUUGAGUCACGCAGAGGGGUGCGGAAUUCCGGGUGUAGUGGUGGAAUGCGUAGAGGUCCGGAGGAACACCAAAGGCGCAAGCAGCACCCUGGGCGAGGACUGACACUGAGGGACGAAAGCAUGGGGAGCAAACAGGAUUAGAUACCCUGGUAGUCCAUGCUGUAAACGAUGCAUGCUAGGCGUUUGGGGACUAGACCCCCUGAGCGCCGCAGCUAACGCGCAAGCAUGCCGCCUGGGAAGUACGGUCGCAAGGCUAAAACUCAAAGGAAUUGACGGGGGCCCGCACAAGCAGCGGAGCGUGUGGUUUAAUUCGAUGCUACGCGAAGAACCUUACCUGGGCUUGACAUGCUGGUGGUAGGAAGUGGAAACACCAACGACCCGCAAGGGAGCCAGCACCGGUGCUGCAUGGUUGUCGUCAGCUCGUGUCGUGAGAUGUUGGGUUAAGUCCCGCAACGAGCGCAACCCCUGGAGUCUGUUGCACGUACCAGAUUCAACUGCCCGUCGCAAACGGGAGGAAGGUGGGGAUGACGUCAAAUCAGCAUGGCCUGUAUGUCCAGGGCGACACACACGCUACAAUGGCCAACACAAUGCGCCGCCAACCCGCGAGGGGGAGCAAAUCGUCAAAGUUGGUCACAGUUCGGAUUGGAGUCUGCAACCCGACUCCAUGAAGGUGGAGUUGCUAGUAACCGCGCGUCAGCCAUAGUGCGGUGAAUACGUUCCCGGGCCUUGUACACACCGCCCGUCACGUCAUGGGAGUUGGAGACACCUGAAGUCGGUCGCGCAACCGCAAGGAGCGCGCUGCCGAGGGUGGAGCCAAUGACUGGGACGAAGUCGUAACAAGGUA
This 1433-nucleotide ribosomal RNA is filed under the name metagenome. RNAcentral's name for it is "bacterial SSU rRNA". It matches the Rfam family "Bacterial small subunit ribosomal RNA". The record is from RNAcentral.